Eriocheir sinensis (Chinese mitten crab) is the source of this 558-nucleotide long non-coding RNA. RefSeq lists it as uncharacterized. Lineage: Eukaryota; Metazoa; Arthropoda; Malacostraca; Decapoda; Varunidae. The transcript has 3 exons. The record is from RefSeq and is a predicted model, not a curated record.
GCAUAACUGUCAAACUAACAGGAACACUGGUGCCUCCUUUCUGCAGGUUCUCUUGGUAAGCAUAAUUGCCAAACUAACAGGAACACUUUCAAACUCUCAAACUUUCCGCAGGUUCUCCUGGCCACCACCGGCAGGGACGUUGCCAUGUAGCUGUGGUCAAGGAGGCCCACGGGUCGUGCCGGAACUAGGUGCAGCUGUGCCUGGAGGGUUGCCAUGAUGGCACCACCUUUCACCGUGUCGUGCUGGGCUUCAUCCACCCGACAGGAACGGACAGCAGCGGAGAAGCCGUCAAGGGGAAGCCCUUCAAGGAAGAGUUCCACACACAGCUGUGGCUCGGCCUGCUGGCAAUGGCCCCAGCGACAAUCGUUCUUUUUGGCGCUGGGCCAGACUCGAGAGCUGCAGGACAAACACACACACACACCGUCACGGCCAACACUCUCCACACGCCUGGAGGAGGGAGGCAUUGGUGAGGUGCCGGCCAGCAGCGGACAGUGACAGCGCCAGGAGUUCAGGAACCAAGACCUUACCAGCAGCAGCAAAGGCAGGAUGACCCAGGAC